Molecule: ribosomal RNA, 253 nt
Filed under: uncultured bacterium
Lineage: Bacteria
Description: partial 16S ribosomal RNA
Rfam family: Bacterial small subunit ribosomal RNA
Source: RNAcentral
UACGAACUGUACGAAUGUUAUUCGGAUUCACUGGGCUUAAAGGGUGCGUAGGCGGCCUGAUAAGUAGGGCGUGAAAUCUGUCGGCUCAACCGGCAAACUGCGUUCUAAACUGUCAGGCUUGAGUAGGUCAGGGGUGAGUGGAACUUCCGGUGGAGCGGUGAAAUGUGUUGAUAUCGGAAGGAACGCCGGUGGCGAAAGCGACUCACUGGGGCCUGUCUGACGCUGAGGCACGAAAGCCAGGGUAGCGAACGGG